RNAcentral lists this transfer RNA (1269 nucleotides) under Kluyveromyces marxianus. RNAcentral describes it as "tRNA-Ser". Lineage: Eukaryota; Fungi; Ascomycota; Saccharomycetes; Saccharomycetales; Saccharomycetaceae. The record is from RNAcentral.
AUGGCUAGUAUCAUCGAGGCUUCAGCAGCUCUGCGUAAGCGGAAAAAUCUUAAAAGAGGUAUUCAGUUCACUUUGAUGGUUGUUGGACAAUCUGGGAGUGGGAGAUCUACAUUUAUCAACACGCUUUGUGGGCAAAAAGUGGUGGAUACCUCCACAACUAUUCUGUUGCCUACCGACACAAACACACAGAUCGAUGUGCAAUUGAGGGAGGAGAUUGUGGAGUUAGAAGAUGAGAAGGGGGUCAAGAUCCAGUUGAACAUUAUUGACACGCCUGGGUUUGGGGACUCUUUGGAUAACUCUCCUUCUUUCGAGGUUAUUUCGGAUUACAUUCGUCAUCAGUACGACGAGAUUUUACUCGAGGAGAGUCGUGUAAGGAGAAAUCCUCGUUUCAAGGAUGGGAGGGUACACUGUUGUUUGUACUUGAUCAACCCCACGGGACAUGGGUUGAAGGAGAUUGAUGUUGAGUUUAUCAGAAGACUUGGGUCGUUGGUUAACGUGAUCCCUGUCAUUAGCAAAGCGGACUCUUUGACUCCUGAGGAGCUUAAACUGAACAAGAAACUCAUUUCGAGGGACAUCGAUUAUUACUCGUUGCCAAUCUACAAUUUCCCAUUCGAUGAAGAAGAUGCUACAGAUGAAGAUUUCCAAACGAACACUUAUCUCAGAGGACUUCUUCCCUUCAGUAUUGUUGGUUCCAACGACGUGUUCGAGUCUUCUGACGGCACUGUGAUUCGCGGCAGAAAAUACCCAUGGGGCACACUAGACGUGGAAGACGCAACCAUUUCAGACUUCGUCGUGCUCAGAAACACGUUGCUCAUUUCGCAUCUAAGCGACAUGAAGGAGUACACUCAUGAAAUCUUGUAUGAAAGAUACAGAACGGAGGCUUUGUCCGGUGAAAUGCCACACGCCAGUGUCGUGUCCUCAGAUAGGGUGUUCAGUGGGGUUGACGGUAACCAAGAAUACCCAGGAUCACCAGUUGCUUCGGGCAGAGAUUCGAUUAGAGGAGCACACGGUGUAGGAUACAAUAACGACGUCAACUCCAUGCACUCUAACAACAAUGCCAAUGCCAACAACAAGGACACUUACUUGGCCAGAGAAGAACAAAUCAAGCUCGAAGAAGAAAGGCUAAGGGUGUUCGAAGAAAGAGUACAACAAGAAUUGCAACUAAAGAGACAGGAAUUGCUACAAAGAGAACAAGAACUAAGGGAAAUUGAAGAGAGGCUCGAAAGAGAAGCUAAAUUGAAACAAGAAGGUAUCAAAAUGGAGCAGUAA